UACAGAGGUCCCAAGCGUUGUUCGGAUUCACUGGGCGUAAAGGGUGCGUAGGUGGUUGGGUAAGUCUGAUGUGAAAUCUCCGGGCUCAACCCGGAAAUGGCAUUGGAUACUAUUCGGCUAGAGGUUUGGAGGGGGGACUGGAAUUCUCGGUGUAGCAGUGAAAUGCGCAGAUAUCGGGAAGAACACCCGUGGCGAAGGCGGUUCUCUGGGACGGUACUGACGCUGAGACGCGAAAGCGUGGGGAGCGAACAGG
RNAcentral lists this ribosomal RNA (253 nucleotides) under uncultured bacterium. Its description in RNAcentral is "partial 16S ribosomal RNA". It matches the Rfam family "Bacterial small subunit ribosomal RNA", at positions 524 to 776 of the family's 1533-position model. The record is from RNAcentral.